GGGAGGAGCAGCCUCCUUCCUCUUCCCGGUGAAGUCAGAGCAGGAUGCCGGCAACUACUCCUGUGAGGCUGAGAACAGCGUCUCCAGAGAAAGGAGUGAGCCCCAGAUGCUCUCCUUGGACGGUCCUCGGGUCUUGUCCACCCCUGCCGGUAGCAACCAUCUGGUUCCUUGGCUGCCUGCGAGCCUGCUCGGUGUGAUGGGCCUUGCUGUUGGACUUCUGGGUUAUUUCAGACCCUGG
Tupaia belangeri chinensis (Chinese tree shrew) is the source of this 238-nucleotide long non-coding RNA. RefSeq lists it as uncharacterized. NCBI's taxonomy places the organism in Eukaryota, Metazoa, Chordata, Mammalia, Scandentia, Tupaiidae. The record is from RefSeq and is a predicted model, not a curated record. The transcript is spliced from 2 exons.